RNAcentral lists this ribosomal RNA (443 nucleotides) under uncultured bacterium. RNAcentral's name for it is "partial 16S ribosomal RNA". It matches the Rfam family "Bacterial small subunit ribosomal RNA", at positions 338 to 795 of the family's 1533-position model. The record is from RNAcentral.
CCUACGGGCGGCAGCAGUGGGGAAUAUUGGACAAUGGGGGGAACCCUGAUCCAGCGACGCCGCGUGAGUGAAGAAGUAUUUCGGUAUGUAAAGCUCUAUCAGCAGGGAAGAAAGAAUUGACGGUACCUGACUGAGAAGCCCCGGCUAACUACGUGCCAGCAGCCGCGGUAAUACGUAGGGGGCAAGCGUUAUCCGGAUUUACUGGGUGUCAAGGGAGCGUAGACGGUUACGCAAGUCAGGAGUGAAAGGCGGGGGCUCAACCCCCGGACUGCUUUGGAAACUGUAUAACUGGAGUGCAGGAGAGGUAAGUGGAAUUCCUAGUGUAGCGGUGAAAUGCGUAGAUAGUAGGAGGAACACCAGUGGCGAAGGCGGCUUACUGGACUGUAACUGACGUUGAGGCUCGAAAGCGUGGGGAGCAAACAGGAUUAGAUACCCUGGUAGUC